GGUUAAGACUGACAUAUGAGGUUCCCUGAGUUGUACUUAUCCUCCAUCGUGUGUUCAUCACCGCCUCCAGCCGUGCUUCGAGUACGCGGCGUCCUUUGGCGGCGAGGAGGCCCGAGGCGAGGUGGCGCCUGCCGCCAGUCCCCAACCCCGUGCCUCUAGCCCCUUCUUCGCGCACGCGAUGAAACGGUCGCUGAUGUGGGAGAGGCCUUUAGUGACGAGGAGGCCCAGGGCGACACAGCCUGCAGUGGCGCUGGUGCUCCCAGUGCAACCACUCUAACGACGGCUAGAUCCAUUGUUCUUGUCGUCAUUGGGCUGGAUUGGUUGUCGCGCUCAUCGACCUAUGGGAGCUCCUUUUGGUCGACCCCCUCGUCUGUUCAUUGUUGGAUCUGUGGCAGCCUUCAUGUCUUCGUCCAGGGACUUACAGGAGUGCACUUUGGCUGGAUCCUACUCCCUCCGUCCGGAAAUACUUGUCAUCGAAAUGAAUAAAAGGAGAUGUAUCUAGACAUAUUUUAGUUCUAGAUACAUCCCUUUUUGUCCAUUUUGAUGACAAGUAUUUUCGGACGGAGGGAGUACUAGGGAUGAAUUUUUUAACUCGCUGACAUGCAUCCGGAGAGAAUAUUGAUGGCUAGGGUUGAUUGUGCAACGAAGAUGGCAAAAAAAUCAGGUACUUCUGAAUGUCGGUGGACCAGAUAGGGUUUCAAAAUUACAGAUGGCUGAGUCUGUUGCUGAAGUUCGUGGAUACAACAAGUCGAUAAUCAAAUCUGUGCCUGCAGCAUCGGUUAAUCAGGGUGUAGCUUCACCGUCAGACAUAUCCAUGAAUAUCACCAAAGCUAACUGAAAAGCUCGAUAUCCAGCCGCUUACAUUCCUGGUUGGAGUCAGAGCUAUACACUUGACGCAGAAGCCAGUACAUGAUAUUUAUAGUUUGUUCAAGUUCCUCCACAAAAUAUCGAAGUGUGACUAAGCGCAUGAAGAUUAUGCCUUCUUCAAUGCCAUAUUAUGCUGACAAUUUUGAGGAACAAGCUGUAGAAGAGAGUAUCUGCUCAUAAUAGAGAUCCGCCUCCCUGUGACGAGGAGUUCAUUAUUUAAGUAGUUGUGCAUGCCAUUUUCAGACCAGGAGCAGCUGCAGGCUAUCACAGAACCAGUUCUAUCAUUUGUUCUGCAAUGAAGUAGGCACACUCCACAAUCUCAGUUCCUACUCUUUGUUAUGCGCUGAGAGGAGGGAAGAAGGACAAUGCGGUCGCAGCCCUAUCCGCACCCUUCCCACCUGAUUCACCCGCAGCACGCCAUGCAGGUGGCACUUUUGCUUGUGUCUUGUUUUCUUUUCGAAAUGGUGAAGCUGACAAUGAUAGCUUGUAUCACUGAUGGCCUACAAUUGACGGAGUGCUUAGAUGGUGGUUAUGUGAAGGAUGUUGUCUUCUACAAGCAGCAAGCAAAAUUGUUGUUCAAAAACAUAUCUAAAGACCAGCAUGAACCAUCAAGACUAUCAACUGAGACUGGACCAUACCGUUUCCAGGUCAGGGUAUGUAUUUACAGUACAUCAUACAUUUUUUGCUUUCAGCAAGAUGAGGAUAAUGUGACUGUUUGUGUGCGUGUGUGCUAUAUGAUACAUUUUCGCUUUCGUCAAGAUGAGGAUACUGUGACUAUUUGUGUGCGUGCGUGCGUGCUAUAUGAUACAUUUUUUGGCCAUAAUCAAGAUGAGGAUACUUGACUGUUUGUGUGGGUGCUUUAGUGGUUCUAGGUUAUUGUAGUAGUAUAACUUGGCUUCGUUUACACAAAAUCCAAAUAGAAUUUAGUUUGGAGCUGGUCAAGACAUGGUGUAGUAUUUAUAACCUAUUAAUUUGGUUGGACUGGUCAAGUGUUCUAUCAAUUCUUGCUGCAGUAUUUAUUCUGUAGUAUGUACUAGCUCUUAGACAAGAUAAUUGUUUAGCCCCUGAUUUCUUAGCUACUGGUUGGUCCUGUAAGGCUACAUCCUUGCUUUCUGAUUAGUGUUAUUUGAAUCUAUAGCAGUGGAUAUGCAUAGAAGAUCCGCUAAUUCGGGUUUUUUGCCUUUAUUUAUCAUGUGAUGGCCGUUGUCGGAGCUUUGCCGCCUUCAUCUCGACUCCGUCGAGGUUCCAGGUUCAUGCUUCACCGCUCUCCCCACCGGUGAUUUGCGGCGGCUGCGGGGUCUUCCCCUGCUUUGGUGGUGGCUGGCAGGCGUUCGCCCGGCCAGAUCUGGCGCGGAGCAGGACCUGUGAUGCAUGGCCUGGUUUACGAGGGCAGGGGACACAUGGGUCCUUGGUCCGGCAGCAUCGGCGGGACGCUGUGCGCCCGUCUGCUUUCUUGCUAGAUACGUGUUUGGGAAAAAUCUACAAUACUCCUUCGAGGUUUACACAUCAAUUGCAAAGGGUUUUCGGAAUGCAUCACUAUAUUGAUUUUGGUUUAUACAUGAAUUGCAGAGAGUUUUAGAAAAGUAUCAUAUUGUUUUGGGUUUAUAUACGAAUUGUAAAAUGUUUUAAGCAUGUGAAAAUCAGAGCUCAUGCGGCAGGUGAUUUUUUUCUUGCUUCUAAUGCUACGAUGAUGUUAUGUAUACUAAAAAGGACUCGUGCACACUUGCUUUGCUCCCUACUGUUUAUGAUCAGUUGCC
Molecule: long non-coding RNA, 2624 nt
Organism: Triticum aestivum (bread wheat)
Lineage: Eukaryota; Viridiplantae; Streptophyta; Magnoliopsida; Poales; Poaceae
Exons: 9
Source: RefSeq, a predicted model, not a curated record